CCGCCACAGCCACCCUUCCCCACCCCUGCAAUUUACAAGCCUUCCGCCAUCAUGGAAAUCUGAAAUCCCACGAAAGAACAGUAAACAUCACAGGGAAAAGAAAAUACCUAGCCAGGCCGUGCUGGACAGCAGAGUCACAAAUGGACAGAGGUCUCUGAGCCAGGGAUGAAGGCGUCUAGGCAACAACAGGGAACUGGCCUUCACACCCGAGCUCAGCUGGGUAAGAACAAAGAGAUGUACACACAGAUGUGCCAAUCCUUCAUGGGGUACAGCCAAGCAUCCUGGUGCCCUGGGAAUUCCCAGGCUCGAAGACACAGCCAGAAUGUCAGAGAAGCUCACAAGUAAACACAGGUGUCAGGUUUAGAGACCAUGUGGAAACGUGAAUGUUUUAAAUAACGGAAAGAGACUAAAUAUCAUUUAGACCACAAAUGAAGUCAGAAUCAGCUUUGUCACCUUCUUGUGGGCUCCCCCGGGAGGGAGUAAGUAUGGUGUAGGGGAAAGAGCAGGGGCUAGGGUUCGGCUGAACGGCUUCGAAGGCUGGCUGCAUCACGUAUGGGCCAGCUGCGUGACUCAGGCCAAGUCAUUCUCUGAAGCUCGGUUUUGCUCUCUGUCCCAUGGGAAAAUAGCAACUCUUCAGAAGGCUGUGAAGAGUAACAAGAUUUACAGCCAGAGGGCCUGGGCCUGGCAUUCAGCAGGUUCACGCUUCUCUCAAGAGCUCCCCACAGAGAAGGACUUCCUCCUGCAUCCCCACCUCUGCAGUGGGCACCCAGCUUUAUUUAGCAUGGGGCCCUCACCUUGAGCUACAGAUCCCUGGGGUGAGUGGGGUGUUAAAAAGAGAAGAGGCACAGAGAUCUCUCAACCUCUGGAAACAAUUUGGUGGCCUCCUAACAGAAGACUAAGAUAAUGCUGACCAAACACAUGAUUGAUCUGUAUAAGAAAGACCUCAUAUCUAGACGAAAAUGACAGACUAGUAAUUGAACCCUACGGAAAACAUCCCCUCCUUUUCUUUCUUUACCUCAGUAAGUCAUCUAGAGCUGCCACUGAAGACUUAGAAUCACCACCCUGCAGGAAAAUCAUAGAGGCUGUUAAUUUCGCCUCUUGGCUUUACCAUUUAGCAUGAAAAUCACCAAACCUUGGCACCAGGAAAGAAACCUCUAAUCAGCCCGUUCGAACUUCCACCCAAGCACCGGAGCUCCCUGGCAUGACCUGGCAACUGAGAUCAGAUUGUUCCUUACUACCUGAAAUUUCCUUGAGAAUUCCUUUUUCUAGGUUCACCUGGGUGGCUCCGACAGUCGGGCGUUUGACUCUCAGCUUUGGCUCAGGUUGGGAUCGCACAAUUGUGGGACGCAGCCCUGCACUAGGCUCUGCGCUCAGCGUGAAGUCUGCUUGAGUUUCUCUCUCCCUCUGCCUCUGUCCCUCUUCCUGCUCAUGCUCUC
Long non-coding RNA from Lutra lutra (Eurasian river otter), 1436 nucleotides. RefSeq lists it as uncharacterized. The record is from RefSeq and is a predicted model, not a curated record. The transcript is spliced from 4 exons. Lineage: Eukaryota; Metazoa; Chordata; Mammalia; Carnivora; Mustelidae.